GCUCAGCUGAGACCUUGCUAUGUGACCUUUUGUUCCACAAGUGGAAAAAUGAAGGUGGAUGGCAAACCCCAGUUUGAAGCAGCCUAGGCCUGAGAGUCACUGCGUGGGGAAGGCUGCCUGGAGAUGCACCAUCUACAUCUGGCUCUGAGCCUCUCCAGGAGAAAAAAUGGAUGCUACUGGAGGGCAGGUACCAGCCUGGGAAUCUUCUAACAUCUCUGGCUUCUGUGAUUCUUUCAUCUUCAUGAGUUGUGAUUUCUUCAAUUGAACUCUCACCCUUGCAAACAGGUUCCUUGUUGUCUUCCGACGAAUCACCUUGUCAGUAGCCUCGAUGAGCACUGCUGUCUCUGGAUAGAAAUGAAGAUGACAAUAUUUCUCAUUUCAUGCUUCUUUAAGAGAAGUUAUCUUCGUUUUCUAGGGUGAAGCCCUUAGUCACUCAGGAAAGCUUAAUGAACUCCCAUGGAAGAUAUAAGGAACUCACAGUUUAUUGGGUUGGGUGGACAGAUACAUUUAUCACAACAGACUCCAGGAUGUUCUGAAAACAGCAGACCAGUAGGUUGUGGGAGCACAGAGAUUAGGGGGUCACUUCUGCCUGGGACGCUGGCACAUCCAAGCUGGAAUGAUCAAGCUGGAUCUUGAAGAUAAUGUUCAAGGUGACAUCUGAACUUGAUCUCUGGCCCCAGGUCCCAGGCUGGGUCUCAUCUUCCGUGUUCAAUUCCCACAGCAGUCCCGCUAAUGGAAUAUACAAGCCAGGUUUUCCUGUACUGAAAGGUGAUCAAAUCAGACAAAUUGUAAAUCUACAGCUGUUGUUUUGUCAGCAUGUAUAUUUUUAUAGAAAGGAGCAAAUCUCUGCCGA
Talpa occidentalis (Iberian mole) is the source of this 853-nucleotide long non-coding RNA. RefSeq lists it as uncharacterized. The record is from RefSeq and is a predicted model, not a curated record. The transcript has 3 exons. NCBI's taxonomy places the organism in Eukaryota, Metazoa, Chordata, Mammalia, Eulipotyphla, Talpidae.